CGCCUCUUGAACCACUAUAAGAGGUCCAGCCUGCCCAGUGACUCUGUUCAACGGCCGCGGUAUCCUAACCGUGCGAAGGUAGCGUAAUCACUUGUUCUUUAAAUGUGGACUAGUAUGAAUGGCACCACGAGGGUUAUACUGUCUCCUUUUUCUAAUCAGUGAAACUAAUCUCCCCGUGAAGAAGCGGGAAUAAAUAUAUAAGACGAGAAGACCCUAUGGAGCUUAAAACAACAUAGCACCUACCAUACAACAUUUAAACUUCUGAGCCCUAACUUACUUGGUAUGAUAACUAUAAGUUUUUGGUUGGGGUGACCACGGAGCAUAAUAUAACCUCCAUGCUGAAUAGAACUUUUUCUAAGCUAAGAAUAACCAAUCCAAGCAUCAACAUAUUGACAUCAAUUGACCCAAUAUAUUUGAACAACGAACCAAGUUACCCUAGGGAUAACAGCGCAAUCCACUUCAAAAGCUCCUAUCGACAAGUGGGUUUACGACCUCGAUGUUGGAUCAGGGUUUCCCAGUGGUGCAGCCGCUACUAAAGGUUCGUUUGUUCAACGAUUAAAACCCUACG
RNAcentral lists this ribosomal RNA (568 nucleotides) under Altiphrynoides malcolmi (Malcolm's Ethiopian toad). RNAcentral describes it as "partial 16S ribosomal RNA". It matches the Rfam family "Bacterial large subunit ribosomal RNA", at positions 1832 to 2600 of the family's 2925-position model. The record is from RNAcentral. Lineage: Eukaryota; Metazoa; Chordata; Amphibia; Anura; Bufonidae.